AUUGAACGCUGGCGGCAUGCCUUACACAUGCAAGUCGAACGGCAGCACGGGUACUUGUACCUGGUGGCGAGUGGCGAACGGGUGAGUAAUACAUCGGAACGUACCUUAUCGUGGGGGAUAACGCAGCGAAAGCUGUGCUAAUACCGCAUACGCCCUGAGGGGGAAAGCGGGGGAUCGAAAGACCUCGCGCGAUUAGAGCGGCCGAUGCUUGAUUAGCUUGUUGGUGGGGUAAAAGCCCACCAAGGCGACGAUCAAUAGCUGGUUUGAGAGGACGAUCAGCCACACUGGGACUGAGACACGGCCCAGACUCCUACGGGAGGCAGCAGUGGGGAAUUUUGGACAAUGGGGGCAACCCUGAUCCAGCAAUGCCGCGUGAGUGAAGAAGGCCUUCGGGUUGUAAAGCUCUUUUGUCAGGGAAGAAACACCGGCUCUAACACAGUCCGGGAAUGACGGUACCUACGUGUCUGUG
Molecule: ribosomal RNA, 469 nt
Filed under: uncultured bacterium
Lineage: Bacteria
Description: bacterial SSU rRNA
Rfam family: Bacterial small subunit ribosomal RNA
Source: RNAcentral